This 172-nucleotide unclassified non-coding RNA is filed under the name uncultured fungus. RNAcentral's name for it is "sequence contains ITS1, 5.8S rRNA gene". The record is from RNAcentral. Lineage: Eukaryota; Fungi.
UCGAGUUGGGGUCCUCUGGGCCCAAUCUCCCACCCAUGUUUAACUACCAUGUUGCUUUGGCGGGUCGCGGCGACUCGUUCGCCCCGCCGGCUACGGCUGGUGCGUGCCCGUCAGAGGUUUUUACCAAAACUCUUUGCGAAUUGUCAAGUCUGAACCACAAAAAAUAAGCACA